AUGCAAGUCGAGGGGCAGCGGGGAAAAGCUUGCUUUUCCGCCGGCGACCGGCGCACGGGUGCGCACCGCGUAUGGAACCUGCCUUGUACAGGGGAAUAGCCCAGGGAAACUUGGAUUAAUGCCCCGUAGUACCGUAUUUCGGCAUCGUUAUACGGUUAAAGCCUUCGGGCGGUACAAGAUGGCCAUGCGUCCCAUUAGCUUGUUGGUAAGGUAACGGCUUACCAAGGCUACGAUGGGUAGGGGCCCUGAGAGGGGGAUCCCCCACACUGGUACUGAGACACGGACCAGACUCCUACGGGAGGCAGCAGUGAGGAAUAUUGGACAAUGGAGGAGACUCUGAUCCAGCCAUGCCGCGUGCAGGAAGAAUGCCCUAUGGGUAGUAAACUGCUUUAUACGGGAAGAAAAAGAGCUACGUGUAGCUUACUGACGGUACCGUAAGAAUAAGGACCGGCUAACUCCGUGCCAGCAGCCGCGGUAAUACGGAGGGUCCGAGCGUUAUCCGGAAUUAUUGGGUUUAAGG
This 520-nucleotide ribosomal RNA is filed under the name Marinobacter goseongensis. Its description in RNAcentral is "bacterial SSU rRNA". It matches the Rfam family "Bacterial small subunit ribosomal RNA", at positions 55 to 565 of the family's 1533-position model. The record is from RNAcentral. Lineage: Bacteria; Pseudomonadati; Pseudomonadota; Gammaproteobacteria; Pseudomonadales; Marinobacteraceae.